AAUAUUAUACAAUGGGGGCGACCGUGAUCGAGCCAUGCCGCGUUUGUUAAGAAUGUCUUCGGAGUGUAAAGCACUUUAAUGUGAUAGUAAGGGCGUUAGGUUAAUACCCUGAAUCUGUUACUUUACCAACAGAAUAAGCACCGACUAAUUCUGUGCCAGCAGUAGCGGUAAUACAGAGGCUGCAAGCGUUAAUCGGAAUUAUUGGCCGUAAAGGGGGCGUAGGUGAUUAAGUAAGAUGGAUGUGAAAUCCCCGGGCUUAACCUGGGAACUGCUUUCAUAAAUGCUGAGCUAGAGUACGGUAGAGGGUAGUGGAAUUUCCUGUGUAGCGGUGAAAUGCGUAGAUAUAGGAAGGAACACCAGUGGCGAAGGCGACUACCUGGACUGAUACUGACACUGAGGUGCAAAAGCGUGGGGAGCAAAC
Molecule: ribosomal RNA, 421 nt
Filed under: uncultured bacterium
Lineage: Bacteria
Description: partial 16S ribosomal RNA
Rfam family: Bacterial small subunit ribosomal RNA
Source: RNAcentral